GGGCUGAUCAUCCAAUCUGGUUAAGAUGUCGCCUUCGCAAGGCGGAAAUCCGGGUUCAAAUCCCGGUCAGUCCA
Molecule: transfer RNA, 74 nt
Filed under: Nanobdellota archaeon
Lineage: Archaea; Nanobdellati; Nanobdellota
Description: tRNA-Ala
Rfam family: tRNA
About the family: Transfer RNA (tRNA) molecules are approximately 80 nucleotides in length. Their secondary structure includes four short double-helical elements and three loops (D, anti-codon, and T loops). Further hydrogen bonds mediate the characteristic L-shaped molecular structure. tRNAs have two regions of fundamental functional importance: the anti-codon, which is responsible for specific mRNA codon recognition, and the 3' end, to which the tRNAs corresponding amino acid is attached (by aminoacyl-tRNA synthetases). tRNAs cope with the degeneracy of the genetic code in two manners: having more than one tRNA (with a specific anti-codon) for a particular amino acid; and 'wobble' base-pairing, i.e. permitting non-standard base-pairing at the 3rd anti-codon position.
Source: RNAcentral